GAAGCAACGCGAAGAACCUUACCUAAGCUUGACAUCCCAAUGACAUCUCCUUAAUCGGAGAGUUCCCUUUGGGGACAUUGGUGACAGGUGGUGCAUGGUUGUCGUCAGCUCGUGUCGUGAGAUGUUGGGUUAAGUCCCGCAACGAGCGUAACCCUUGUCUUUAGUUGCCAUCAUUAAGUUGGGCACUCUAGAGAGACUGCCAGGGAUAACCUGGAGGAAGGUGGGGAUGACGUCAAAUCAUCAUGCCCCUUAUGCUUAGGGCUACACACGUGCUACAAUGGGUAGUACAGAGGGUUGCCAAGCCGUAAGGUGGAGCUAAUCCCUUAAAGCUACUCUCAGUUCGGAUUGUAGGCUGAAACUCGCCUACAUGAAGCUGGAGUUACUAGUAAUCGCAGAUCAGAAUGCUGCGGUGAAUACGUUCCCGGGUCUUGUACACACCGCCCGUCACACCACGGGAGUUGGAGACGCCCGAAGCCGAUUAUCUAACCUUUUGGAAGAAAUCGUCGAAGGUGGAAUCAAUAACUGGGGUGAAGUCGUAACAAGGUAGCCGUAUCGGAAGGUGCGGCUGGAUCACCUCCUUUCUAAGGA
RNAcentral lists this ribosomal RNA (588 nucleotides) under Clostridioides difficile. RNAcentral describes it as "bacterial SSU rRNA". It matches the Rfam family "Bacterial small subunit ribosomal RNA", at positions 953 to 1533 of the family's 1533-position model. The record is from RNAcentral. Lineage: Bacteria; Bacillati; Bacillota; Clostridia; Peptostreptococcales; Peptostreptococcaceae.